This 1592-nucleotide unclassified non-coding RNA is filed under the name Hevea brasiliensis (rubber tree). The record is from RNAcentral. Lineage: Eukaryota; Viridiplantae; Streptophyta; Magnoliopsida; Malpighiales; Euphorbiaceae.
AAAAAACAAAAGAUGCUUUCUUAACUCUUUCAAAUAAGCUACAAAUGUAAGCAAAUGAUGCCACUUAUUUACAGAGGACAUACAUUACAUGUAUUGACAUCCUUUAUUUUCUAAGUGCAAUGUUCUUUAGAGGUUUAAAGUUAUACAUGUCACUGUUCUUUCCAGAUGCGUCCUGCCACUUUCAGCCUCAGCUCCUGCUGAUCAACCCCGGAAAAGAAAAGUGCCAUAUUUCUCUGAAUGAUUAGUCCGUCUUCGCUAUCUCGAACUUUCUUAUGGCUAUCACGGAUGCUUCUUGGAAUUCCUUGCCAGGUAAGCUUUCUGCCAUUUCCACCAACUUCCAGGCUGUAACUAAAUUGCCUUGCCUCGUCUUCAUUGCCCAUGAAUCUCAGGAAGGCCAUGUAAACAGGUGCCAUUCCUAGUUGAAACGCCUCGAAGUGCAAGCAAAACUGUCUGCCAAAGCAAUUGAAAACAGUUAACAUCCAAGUAGCAUUAUCAAUUUCUUGGGGAUUGGAUUUGACAUAUCUGUGAUUGAAGGUACACCCAUCAUGCAUGUCAACCUUGUGAUCAUUCUUGAGAUGCGCAACAAGAAGUGGAAUGUCACCAAUGACAGAACAUUCAGCUCCAGCAUAUGGGCAGUUGUACGGACGAUAUUUGCAGUUCUUUUCAUGCUUUAGCUUGCUGUAGUAUGGAGAUAUAUCGGGGCAACCUACAAUCUGAUAUUUGCAUGGGAGUUCAAGUGACUCGGCAACUUUCUCCAGAGCCAAGCACCUUAUAUUUCCAAGCUCUCCACGGCAAGUGGGGCAAAAGUUGUGUACUCGAGCCUUGCAGUAUGAACAUAGAGUAUGACCAUUGGGACACUGGUAAAUUGGAGGGCACAUUAAACUCAUGCAGACAGGACAUUCAAGCAGGUUCUGCACAUCACUAAUUGAUGAUGUUCCAUGAUUACCACCCAAACAAGUUGCUGGUUUUGUGAAAGGGGAAACUUUGAAUUCUGCAUUGGAAGUUGAUGAUUCAUAGUCUGCAAAUGCAAUGCGUGACUCUAUCAUCUCCUUAGAGAUGAUACCUCCACGGCCCAUUAUCUCCUAGCUCAAUUGUCAAUGCCAGCACUAUUGUCUCUUAAUUAAAAUAAGUACCACAGUCAUAGUUUUCUGGUAUCAAUGAAUAGGCUUACCCAGAUGAGGAAAAGAGCCCAGAAACUUGAUCAACCACCAAAAAUUGAUUCCCAACAGUGUAAAAAACAGACCAAGUAACGGUAACACCCAGCCAGAUGAAUACCGAAUCCAAAAUCUUGAAUAUUCAAUCAAACUCGAGCACCCAAUAAUUGCAUCAUCUUUGACACCCAAAAGUCCAAAGAAAGCUUGAUAAGAAGCUAAGAAACGUUGUGAGGUGGAGGAAGGAGCGCGAUUGCAGGCCCUCCCGCAAAUUGCGUGUCCCAGCUUGGAACAAACUUCGCGACGCAAAGAGUCAAAGAAAUUGGAUCUGCCAAUCCCCAUGCAGUGACAUAUAUAUAUCGAAAUCAUUAAAUUUUUAGAAGAAUUAUUAAAUUUCUAUUUGUAUUAGGCUAAGUAAUUAAAUCAUAUUCUUUAUCUUUC